This 28-nucleotide non-coding RNA is filed under the name Rattus norvegicus (Norway rat). The record is from RNAcentral. Lineage: Eukaryota; Metazoa; Chordata; Mammalia; Rodentia; Muridae.
UGCUGUGAGAUACUCCGUUAAUUUGUAC